Molecule: ribosomal RNA, 273 nt
Filed under: uncultured Staphylococcus sp.
Lineage: Bacteria; Bacillati; Bacillota; Bacilli; Caryophanales; Staphylococcaceae
Description: partial 16S ribosomal RNA
Rfam family: Bacterial small subunit ribosomal RNA
Source: RNAcentral
ACGUUAGCGGCGGACGGGUGAGUAACACGUGGGUAACCUACCUAUAAGACUGGGAUAACUUCGGGAAACCGGAGCUAAUACCGGAUAAUAUUUCGAACCGCAUGGUUCGAUAGUGAAAGAUGGUUUUACUAUCACUUAUAGAUGGACCUGCGCCGUAUUAGCUAGUUGGUAAGGUAACGGCUUACCAAGGCGACGAUACGUAGCCGACCUGAGAGGGUGAUCGGCCACACUGGAACUGAGACACGGUCCAGACUCCUACGGGAGGCAGCAGCA